This is a non-coding RNA of Mycena rosella, 93 nucleotides long. The record is from the annotation of a GenBank genome assembly. NCBI's taxonomy places the organism in Eukaryota, Fungi, Basidiomycota, Agaricomycetes, Agaricales, Mycenaceae.
GCUUGUUUAGCUCAACCGGUUGAGUGCUUGCAAUUUGUAAUGCCAUCACACAUUGUUUGCAAUCAGAUGUCGGUUCGAUUCCGACAGCGAGCC